Molecule: ribosomal RNA, 523 nt
Filed under: uncultured bacterium
Lineage: Bacteria
Description: partial 16S ribosomal RNA
Rfam family: Bacterial small subunit ribosomal RNA
Source: RNAcentral
GGGGAAUAUUGCACAAUGGGCGAAAGCCUGAUGCAGCAACGCCGCGUGAGUGAUGAAGGUCUUCGGAUUGUAAAGCUCUGUCUUUUGGGACGAUAAUGACGGUACCAAAGGAGGAAGCCACGGCUAACUACGUGCCAGCAGCCGCGGUAAUACGUAGGUGGCGAGCGUUGUCCGGAUUUACUGGGCGUAAAGGGUGCGUAGGCGGAUGUUUAAGUGAGAUGUGAAAUACCCGGGCUUAACUUGGGUGCUGCAUUUCAAACUGGAUAUCUAGAGUGCAGGAGAGGAGAAUGGAAUUCCUAGUGUAGCGGUGAAAUGCGUAGAGAUUAGGAAGAACACCAGUGGCGAAGGCGAUUCUCUGGACUGUAACUGACGCUGAGGCACGAAAGCGUGGGUAGCAAACAGGAUUAGAUACCCUGGUAGUCCACGCCGUAAACGAUGAGUACUAGGUGUAGGAGGUAUCGACCCCUUCUGUGCCGCAGUAAACACAUUAAGUACUCCGCCUGGGAGGUACCGAUCGCAAGAU